Molecule: long non-coding RNA, 945 nt
Organism: Zophobas morio
Lineage: Eukaryota; Metazoa; Arthropoda; Insecta; Coleoptera; Tenebrionidae
Exons: 2
Source: RefSeq, a predicted model, not a curated record
UACAAUUAUUUUACUGUUGCUUUUUAUGUAUUUUUUUACUUAAAUUUAGUAAAUUUACGUAAGUUAGCAGCAUUGUGCAUAAAAUAAGUAAACUUGUGUCACUAUUUGUAUUUUCACAAGUCAAAUUGAAAAAACACAAUACAGAAUCGCAAUUGUAAAUGUAUAUUCACUUUAUAAAUGAAUUAUACUUUAUAAUACCGUAAAUAUACUAACAUUUUUUACAAUUACUUCCAACUUUGUAAAAUAAUCCAGUCUACCGGUCAAAUCACAUGCAUACUGUGAAUUGUUGAUGCUCACGCAAUCAUUACUAUAACGCUUGCAGGUUAUAACAAGUUGGAGUGCAUUAGUUGUGGUAAUAUAUUUUGUACAAAAUAGUGUAUUUUGUUGUUAAAGGCGGAUAAUUACUUACUAUAAUUUGCCCAUGUCAUCUUUAAUUGUUAUGUUAAUGCAAUUUUUAUCACAGGGUGAUGAUAUGAAUAAUUUAAAUGAAAUUAUCAAGGUGGCUGCGCCAUGUGCAAUUGAAAUAGGCAAGUAUUUAAAACGUCUUUGUACCUAUAACAUUUUAAUGUAUUUUUGUAUUUUUCUAGAGAGCGAUCCACAAACAAUUUAUCACGUAGUUUUAGAACGACAAGUAGUGAUUCCAAGUGUUGUCACUUUAAAAGAUGCAGUAUCUUGGCCGUUUGGAUUAUAUUUUAUAAUGAAUUUAGAAUAUCCAGACGAAGUAUCAGCAGUUUUGGAAAUGAUGCAAAGAUUUUUUUUGAAAAUACAUCCAGAUCAAGGAUCCAAAUCAAAAAGAAUAACACCAACAAAACGCAAAGUAAUUGGCCUUAUGAACAAAUUUAAUUAAUGUAAAGUAUAUACAACAUCAAUGACUUUGUUUUGUGUUUAUGAUUUUAUUACAUGUUUAUUAUGUUUUUCACCAUAAAAUAAAAGGUUCACUUUGUC